CGAUCUCAAAUCAAGUAAGACUACCCGCUGAACUUAAGCAUAUCAA
Molecule: ribosomal RNA, 46 nt
Filed under: Linnemannia elongata
Lineage: Eukaryota; Fungi; Mortierellomycota; Mortierellomycetes; Mortierellales; Mortierellaceae
Description: Mortierella elongata partial 28S ribosomal RNA
Source: RNAcentral